Long non-coding RNA from Eptesicus fuscus (big brown bat), 561 nucleotides. RefSeq lists it as uncharacterized. NCBI's taxonomy places the organism in Eukaryota, Metazoa, Chordata, Mammalia, Chiroptera, Vespertilionidae. The transcript has 4 exons. The record is from RefSeq and is a predicted model, not a curated record.
UCCAGAUUGCAGGCAAUUUCUGGCGCUUAGAUUUGUCUGGAUCAAAGACAAACUAGUUCUCAACUCAGCUGGGAUCUUUUGCUACCACAUGUCAGCUGUGCAAAGCAAUUCAGGAUAUGUUAGCAUUACUUCUCAAUCAGCUCUCCAUCAUGAAUAUCGCUGAAGAUGGCUGACAGUGCCUGAAGCUACUGCAAAAGUGUCCUGUACUCCUUCAACACCUGCUUCUAGGCAAACUUCAGACAGGACUGAGGUGAUGGCAUGCAGUAAGUACUUGAUAAAUAGUUGGUGAAUAAAUGACUGAAUGAACUGCGCUGGGUGAGGAGAACGAGGAAAGCAAGACUCGCAGGGUUCCUGGCUUCAUGGAGCUUACAUUCUAGGGGAGAUGCCGGUGUGCCCAGCUCUCAAGGCAACGAAGCCUGGCAAGUGCCACAAUCCCAGUAAGAAGAGAGUUCUCCAGGAAAUGAGGUGUGAUACGGGCCAGCUUUGCCAAUAUUCUCGGACCAAAAAAUAAGAAUUUAAAUAUGAAAUACUGAAAUUUAACACAUGACUGAAACAAAAUAA